This 786-nucleotide ribosomal RNA is filed under the name Pseudogymnoascus sp. RNAcentral's name for it is "partial large subunit ribosomal RNA". It matches the Rfam family "Eukaryotic large subunit ribosomal RNA", at positions 86 to 893 of the family's 3401-position model. The record is from RNAcentral. Lineage: Eukaryota; Fungi; Ascomycota; Leotiomycetes; Thelebolales; Thelebolaceae.
ACGGCGAGUGAAGCGGUAACAGCUCAAAUUUGAAAUCUGGCCUCACGGUCCGAGUUGUAAUUUGUAGAGGAUGCUUCGAGCAUGGUCUGGCCUAAGUUCCUUGGAACAGGACGUCAUAGAGGGUGAGAAUCCCGUAUGCGGCCAGGUGCCUACGCUCAUGUGAAGCUCCUUCGACGAGUCGAGUUGUUUGGGAAUGCAGCUCAAAAUGGGUGGUAAAUUUCAUCUAAAGCUAAAUAUUGGCCAGAGACCGAUAGCGCACAAGUAGAGUGAUCGAAAGAUGAAAAGCACUUUGGAAAGAGAGUUAAACAGUACGUGAAAUUGUUGAAAGGGAAGCGCUUGCAACCAGACUUGCGCGCGGCCGAUCAUCCGGUGUUCUCACCGGUGCACUCGGCCGUGCUCAGGCCAGCAUCGGUUUUGGCGGCUGGAUAAAGGCCCUAGGAAUGUAGCUCCUCUCGGGGAGUGUUAUAGCCUAGGGUGCAAUGCAGCCUGCUGGGACCGAGGACCGCGCUUCGGCUAGGAUGCUGGCGUAAUGGUUGUAAGCGGCCCGUCUUGAAACACGGACCAAGGAGUCUAACAUCUAUGCGAGUGUUUGGGUGUCAAACCCAUACGCGUAAUGAAAGUGAACGGAGGUGAGAACCCUUAAGGGUGCAUCAUCGACCGGUCCUGAAGUUUACGGAAGGAUCUGAGUAAGAGCAUAGCUGUUGGGACCCGAAAGAUGGUGAACUAUGCCUGAAUAGGGUGAAGCCAGAGGAAACUCUGGUGGAGGCUCGCAGCGGUUCUGACGUG